AACGUACGCUGGCGGCACGCCUAACACAUGCAAGUCGAACGAAGUAGCAAUACUUAGUGGCAGACGGGUGAGUAACAUGUGGGUAUCUGCCCUUUGGCCUGGAAUAACACGAGGAAACUUGUGCUAAUACCGGAUAAGUCUUUACGGAGAAAGCUUUAUGCACCAUUGGAUGAGCCCGCACUUGAUUAGUUUGUUGGUGGGGUAAUGGCCUACCAAGACUGUGAUCAAUAGCUGAUUUGAGAGGAUGAUCAGCCACAUUGGGACUGAGACACGGCCCAAACUCCUACGGGAGGCAGCAGUGGGGAAUCUUGCACAAUGGAGGAAACUCUGAUGCAGCGAUGCCGCGUGAGUGAAGAAGGCCCUUGGGUUGUAAAGCUCUUUCGUCGGGGAAGAAAAUGACUGUACCCGAAUAAGAAGGUCCGGCUAACUUCGUGCCAGCAGCCGCGGUAAUACGAAGGGACCUAGCGUAGUUCGGAAUUACUGGGCUUAAAGAGUUCGUAGGUGGUUGAAAAAGUUAGUGGUGAAAUCCCAGAGCUUAACUCUGGAACUGCCAUUAAAACUUUUUAGCUAGAGUAUGAUAGAGGAAAGCAGAAUUUCUAGUGUAGAGGUGAAAUUCGUAGAUAUUAGAAAGAAUACCAAUUGCGAAGGCAGCUUUCUGGAUCAUUACUGACACUGAGGAACGAAAGCAUGGGUAGCGAAGAGGAUUAGAUACCCUCGUAGUCCAUGCCGUAAACGAUGUGUGUUAGACGUUGGAAAUUUAUUUUCAGUGUCGCAGCGAAAGCGAUAAACACACCGCCUGGGGAGUACGACCGCAAGGUUAAAACUCAAAUGAAUUGACGGGGACCCGCACAAGUAGUGGAGCAUGUGGUUUAAUUCGAAGAUACGCGCAGAACCUUACCAACACUUGACAUGUUCGUCGCGACUCUAAGAGAUUAGAGUUUUCGGUUCGGCCGGACGAAACACAGGUGCUGCAUGGCUGUCGUCAGCUCGUGUCGUGAGAUGUUGGGUUAAGUCCCGCAACGAGCGCAACCCUCACUUUUAGUUGCCAUCAUUAAGUUGGGCACUCUGAAAGAACUGCCAGUGAUAAGCUGGAGGAAGGUGGGGAUGACGUCAAGUCCUCAUGGCCCUUACGUGUUGGGCUACACACGUGCUACAAUGGUAUCUACAACAGGAAGCAAGACUGCAAGGUCAAGCAAAUCCUUAAAAGAUACCUCAGUUCGGAUUGCACUCUGCAACUCGAGUGCAUGAAGCUGGAAUUACUAGUAAUCGUGGAUCAGCGUGCCACGGUGAAUGCGUUCCCGGGUCU
Molecule: ribosomal RNA, 1306 nt
Filed under: uncultured bacterium
Lineage: Bacteria
Description: bacterial SSU rRNA
Rfam family: Bacterial small subunit ribosomal RNA
Source: RNAcentral